RNAcentral lists this unclassified non-coding RNA (392 nucleotides) under soil metagenome. RNAcentral's name for it is "partial contains 5.8S ribosomal RNA, internal transcribed spacer 2, and large subunit ribosomal RNA". The stretch from base 1 to 122 matches the Rfam family "5.8S ribosomal RNA", at positions 35 to 154 of the family's 154-position model. The record is from RNAcentral.
GAUGAAGAACGUAGCGAAAUGCGAUACUUGGUGUGAAUUGCAGAAUCCCGUGAACCAUCGAGUCUUUGAACGCAAGUUGCGCCCGAAGCCAUCAGGUUGAGGGCACGUCUGCCUGGGCGUCACAUAUCGUUGCCCAAUGCCUAUUGCAGUGCAAUAGGAAUUUCUAGGGCGAAUGAUGGCUUCCCGUGAGCGUUGUUGCCUCGCGGUUGGUUGAAAAUCGAGUCCUUGGUAGGGUGUGCCAUGGUAGAUGGUGGUCGAGUUAGAACGAUACCGAUCAUGUGCAUGCUCCCCAAAAUAUGGCCUCUAUGACCCACACGCGUCUUUUGACGCUCAUGACGAGACCUCAGGUCAGGCGGGGCUACCCGCUGAAUUUAAGCAUAUCAUAGCGAGGA